This 448-nucleotide ribosomal RNA is filed under the name uncultured bacterium. RNAcentral describes it as "bacterial SSU rRNA". It matches the Rfam family "Bacterial small subunit ribosomal RNA", at positions 355 to 796 of the family's 1533-position model. The record is from RNAcentral.
UCGAGAAUUUUUCACAAUGGGCGAAAGCCUGAUGGAGCGACGCCGCGUGGGGGAUGAAUGGCUUCGGCCCGUAAACCCCUGUCAUUCGGGAUCAAAUCUGGCAACCUAACACGUUGUCAGUUGAUAGUACUGAAAGAGGAAGGGACGGCUAACUCUGUGCCAGCAGCCGCGGUAAUACAGAGGUCCCAAGCGUUGUUCGGAUUUACUGGGCGUAAAGGGAGCGUAGGUGGCAUUCUAAGUCUGAUGUGAAAGCUCUGAGCUUAACUCAGAAAUGGCAUUAGAAACUAGUUUGCUUGAGGAUUGGAGGGGAGAUUGGAAUACUUGGUGUAGCAGUGAAAUGCGUAGAUAUCAAGUGGAACACCAGUGGCGAAGGCGAAUCUCUGGACAAUUCCUGACACUGAUGCUCGAAAGCUAGGGGAGCAAACGGGAUUAGAUACCCCCGUAGUCC